AGCAGCCGCGGUAAUUCCAGCUCCAAUAGCGUAUAUUAAAGUUGUUGCAGUUAAAAAGCUCGUAGUUGAAUUUCGGGAUCAAAUUGUCGGUCGUGCCUCGGUACGCACUGGUAUUAUUGGUUCCUACCUUCUGAAGAACCGCGAUGUCAUUAAUUUGGUGUCGUGGGGAAUCAGGACUGUUACUUUGAAAAAAUUAGAGUGUUUAAAGCAGGCUUACGCUUGAAUACAUUAGCAUGGAAUAAUGAAAUAGGACGUUUGAUUCUAUUUUGUUGGUUUCUAGGAUUGACGUAAUGAUUAAUAGGGAUAGUUGGGGGCAUUAGUAUUCAAUUGUCAGAGGUGAAAUUCUUGGAUUUAUUGAAGACUAACUACUGCGAAAGCAUUUGCCAAGGAUGUUUUCAUUAAUCAAGAACGAAAGUUAGGGGAUCGAAGACGAUCAGAUACCGUCGUAGUCUUAACCAUAAACUAUGCCGACUAGGGAUCGGAUGAUGUUAAUUUUUAUAAUGACUCAUUCGGCGCCUUA
RNAcentral lists this ribosomal RNA (520 nucleotides) under uncultured Glomus. Its description in RNAcentral is "SSU rRNA". It matches the Rfam family "Eukaryotic small subunit ribosomal RNA", at positions 569 to 1090 of the family's 1831-position model. The record is from RNAcentral. Lineage: Eukaryota; Fungi; Glomeromycota; Glomeromycetes; Glomerales; Glomeraceae.